Molecule: long non-coding RNA, 777 nt
Organism: Mytilus californianus (California mussel)
Lineage: Eukaryota; Metazoa; Mollusca; Bivalvia; Mytilida; Mytilidae
Exons: 2
Source: RefSeq, a predicted model, not a curated record
AAAAAAAAAAUCUGCCUCUUGGCAUAACAAAAUUCGGUAGGAAGGGGGUUGCCAACAACCAGUAGCUACGUGGGGUUUUCUCAUUAUGUUUGCAAAUAUGAUAACUAAGGCUAAUAUAUUGCAAAGAAAUAUGUGAGAAAAAAGGAAACUCUAUAAGUUUAACGAUCAACGUUCAUUAAUUUGUAUCGCGUAACAUGGCAAUCUGGACAAUCACUAAUUGAAGCUUUCUCAGUGUAACAAAGCCAACAGGGAGAAGUUUCUGUUACUGGCUUUGUGUAUGUGGAUUUUCAAUUUUGACUAGAAAAGGAGAGCAAACGAAUUUGUAUAUUUAUAAAAGCGUUUCGAAGAUGAUACGAGGGCGAUUUAACAAUUUUUAAAGAGUCAGAGUGUUAUGCAAAUUAGUAUAUAGCAAUUUCAUAUUGUGAAUAACUUGUGUCUGAGACUACUUUAUAACACACUAACAAUUUAAUUCGGAUUAACUAAUUCGGGUCGAUCCUAGUUUGAAACAGCAAAGUGUGAACGGGGUAUACUAUAACACAUGCACGAAUCUAUUAUGAGUAGUCUUAGACACUUUAUUCACAAUACAAAAUUUUAUACAUGUGACUCGCCAUGACAUUUCUAGGCUUAAGGAUGUAUAACGUCAUUGUAAGAAAAACACACUUAAUUAUGAACGUUACGUCUUUGUAAACAUACAGCUCAAUUGGAAGUACGGAUAACCUUUGUUAGUCUUGUAUAUUUUUUUUUUUAUUUUGGUUUAUUAAUAUGUUUCGGAGUUUA